AGAAGGGCAUUAAUGGGACCAGCACCCUACCCCCACCAAAGGCACCCAAGAGUCAUUUGCUCCAUGUUCAGAUUUUACCUCUCUUCUCCUUUCUCUAUCUCACCUACCACAGGAAGAGCAAAAGAAACACUAUUUCACAUCCAUCCAGACACUUUCUUCAUGCAAGCAUAGAAGGAAAGCUGAGGACCUCACAUUGGGAAGGUCUAUAGGGGUCUAGUGGCAUCAUACACAGGAUCCUAAUCAUUUUGUAGACUUCCUAUUUUGGGAGACGUUCAGGAAGAUGAGAAUCGGUAAGAUAGGUUGCAUCAAGCACCAACAUCACUGAAGGGUUUCUUGGGAGAACUAGUGCAACCCAUCAGCUUUAUCGCAUUGCCUGUAAUAGCAGGAGCUGGGCAGGCAUCAACGACGAUGAUUGUAACAGUUUGCCAGAAAUUCAAUGGAGGAAUUUCUUUAGAUUUUAGGAAUCUCGUGAAAACUUGAAUGUUUUUACGAAUUAACCCAAUUGUGUCAGCAUAGUUAGUGUUGCUACUCACUAUGGUGCCAUAAGCGUAAUUUUAUUUAUUUAAAGUACUUAAAAGCGUGAGAAUGAGAAAUGGUCUACGCCAUUCUAUUUGUAUGAAUAUUUAAGAUUUUGUGGCGUAAUAAAACCAUUUUUGAUUUCAAGAGUAACGCUUGUUCGAAAA
This is a long non-coding RNA of Carya illinoinensis, 683 nucleotides long. RefSeq lists it as uncharacterized. The record is from RefSeq and is a predicted model, not a curated record. NCBI's taxonomy places the organism in Eukaryota, Viridiplantae, Streptophyta, Magnoliopsida, Fagales, Juglandaceae. The transcript is spliced from 2 exons.